UACAUAGGGUGCGAGCGUUAUCCGGAAUUAUUGGGUGUAAAGGGUGCGUAGAUGGGGAAACAAGUUGGUUGUGAAAUCCCUCGGCUUAACUGAGGAACUGCAACCAAAACUAUAUCUCUUGAGUGCUGGAGGGGAAAGAGGAAUUCCUAGUGUAGCGGUGAAAUGCGUAGAUAUUAGGAGGAACACCGGUGGCGAAGGCGUCUUUCUGGACAGUAACUGACAUUGAGGCACGAAAGUGUGGGGAG
This 245-nucleotide ribosomal RNA is filed under the name uncultured Eubacteriales bacterium. RNAcentral describes it as "uncultured Clostridiales bacterium partial 16S ribosomal RNA". It matches the Rfam family "Bacterial small subunit ribosomal RNA", at positions 524 to 768 of the family's 1533-position model. Lineage: Bacteria; Bacillati; Bacillota; Clostridia; Eubacteriales. The record is from RNAcentral.